AGAGUUUGAUCAUGGCUCAGGAUGAACGCUGGCGGCGUGCUUAACACAUGCAAGUCGAACGAUGAUGCCUAGCUUGCUAGGUGGAUUAGUGGCGAACGGGUGAGUAACACGUGAGUAACCUGCCCCUGACUCUGGGAUAAGCCUGAGAAAUUGGGUCUAAUACUGGAUAUGAACAUUUACCGCAUGGUGGGUGUUGGAAAGAUUUUUGGUGGGAUGGACUCGCGGCCUAUCAGCUUGUUGGUGAGGUAGUGGCUCACCAAGGCGACGACGGGUAGCCGGCCUGAGAGGGCGACCGGCCACACUGGGACUGAGACACGGCCCAGACUCCUACGGGAGGCAGCAGUGGGGAAUAUUGCACAAUGGGCGCAAGCCUGAUGCAGCGACGCCGCGUGAGGGAUGACGGCCUUCGGGUUGUAAACCUCUUUCAGCAGGGAAGAAGCGAAAGUGACGGUACCUGCAGAAGAAGCACCGGCUAACUACGUGCCAGCCGCCGCGGUAAUA
This 501-nucleotide ribosomal RNA is filed under the name uncultured bacterium. RNAcentral describes it as "bacterial SSU rRNA". It matches the Rfam family "Bacterial small subunit ribosomal RNA", at positions 8 to 525 of the family's 1533-position model. The record is from RNAcentral.